Molecule: long non-coding RNA, 1484 nt
Organism: Acyrthosiphon pisum (pea aphid)
Lineage: Eukaryota; Metazoa; Arthropoda; Insecta; Hemiptera; Aphididae
Exons: 3
Source: RefSeq, a predicted model, not a curated record
UAAAUUAUAAGAAAAUAAGAAAAUCAAUUUUGUCAAAAACUAAACAUUUUCGUUUUCUGUCGAUUGAUGUGAUCUCGAAGACUUCAACACAUUUCCAAACACAUUGUUUGGAUUUCUUAAGUUCCUUUUUUUUGCUUUUAAUAUUUGAAUAUUUUAAAUCAAACUCAUUUGCAGACUUUCUCAACUUCAGACUUGUCAAUGAUGGCAAAGAUAGAGAACGAUAGAAAAAAACACGUCCACGUAAUAAGUGCGAUCUAUGCGAUAUCUAUGCGAUGUCUAUGGGAUGUUAUUCUUGAAUAAUACGUGACACGGCGACCAGGAUCCCAUGUGCGGUGUCUGUUUAUUCUCCGGAGGUUCGACUACGGUAAUAAUAAUAAUUGAUAUUAUUCCAACAUGGAAAACUGCGUGUAAAGUUAUCGGUACCGAUGACGGUCGGCGUCACAACCGCGGUAGUUCAUACGGCCCUGGUGUGCACUGGCGUUUCGGCGUAUCCAACGCGUCGGCGUACAGCGAACGUGUCGGCAGCACGGCAUUUAUUUGCAGCGCCCGUCACCAGGACCGCAUGCACUCAUCGUCAGUUCCUGAGGAGUGUUUUCCAGAGGCGCCAGGGCAACCGAGUCCGAGUCGACCGCCGAGAUGGUAGAAAUUAUACGGUAUAUAAAAUUAUUGUCACUGUAAUUUUGUUUUAGAAAUUUUUUUAGAAAUACGGGCUUGGGAGGGCCACUUGGGCCCCUGAAGCAGCCCCUGCGAGAUGUAGCGUAGUGUAUACUUAUAACUACUUAUAAGAAAUAGUAUUAAUAAUUGAAUGACACUAUUAUGAUAAUAUAGUUGAGCAUUAAGUAAGAGACGUUUUGCGCAAACUUAACCAAAGCUGGACUAUUUCAAUUAUACCAUGUUGAUUGUAUCAUGCGUUUGUAGAAUUAUAUAGGUGGUACAUGUAUAGUGGCGUGACAAUGACGAUAACUUCACCGAAACUAUAAAUGGAGACUAGUCAGUAUAUUAUAAUUGUGGUCACUAGUCACCCACUCAAUUUAUUUGCUGAGAUAAUUUUGGAAUUUGAUGACGCAAGAUGAUGAGAGCAAUAUUACGGUUGAACUCCAAGAACGUAAUAUAAAAAAACGUCGUUUUUCAGAAAUCAUUGAUGUCGCAAUUAGCGAAAGUGCAUUAUAAGUAUAUAUAAUAUUUUCACUGGUGCACCCUGGUUCAUGUCAAACGAGACCCUAAACUCCGACCUCAAAUUACUCUCCAUCAACAAUACAGCUGCUAUCUAUUACAAACGCUUCCACGCCAAACUUCAAACCAACUAAUCAAUGAGUUAGCUUCGCUAACACUUCCAGGUAACCCAAUCAGACGCCUCAAGAGGAAAUGGUGCCGUGAUUUGGUGACUUAAGUUAAAACUUAUACAUUUAAGAGGUGUCACAAAUGUGUGUUUUCCUCCUCAUGUAAAUAUUCGUUGUUAACUGCUUGUAAAUUAUUAAUAUUAC